RNAcentral lists this long non-coding RNA (762 nucleotides) under Olea europaea (common olive). RNAcentral's name for it is "long non-coding RNA (OEUR_LNC000860)". Lineage: Eukaryota; Viridiplantae; Streptophyta; Magnoliopsida; Lamiales; Oleaceae. The record is from RNAcentral.
CAAGCCCAAGCCCAAGCCCAAGCCCAAGCCCAAGCAAUACAAAUAAAUCCAACCCAAUUGAAAUUAAGCCCAAACCUAAUUGUUAACUAAUAAACCAACCCACUUAAUUAUUAAACCAAUUAACCCAAAAUCCAAUUGAUAACUAAUACCCAACCCACUUAACUAAUAACCCAGUUAACCCAACCAAGAUGCAACCCGAUUUGGGACGACGGGGCUGUCGUCACAGGUGUCGUCCGUUGAUAGCGACGGCAGACGAGUCAACGAAGUGGACGAAGACUCGGUGGAGAGCAAGAAGGCGUUGGGUCAAUUUGGGUUCUGUCACCUGGAUAUGGAUUGGGUUACUGUUGUAUGUAUUGAGCUGGGGUCGUCGAUGGUCGGUCUGGGAAGUAUGGGUUAUUGAUGCCGAGGAUUUGUGGGUAAUUCGUUGGGUUACUUAUUGGAGUGGUGAUGACAGGCGUCGGAGCUGUGAGGAUGAUCGAGAGUGGGGUUCCAUGAAUAGAGGUGGCGACCACGGAGUGGUCUGAUUUCUGGGUUACUGUGACUGUCUGCAGUUAUUGUUCAUCGUGGGUGGUUAUUUUGUGAACAGUUGAGAUGAAGAUAACCAGGUUUUGGCUCUGAUACCAAUUUGAUGUAGAAUGAUUAAUUCAAUAAAGAUAACAAGAAGAGAUAUAGGAGAAGGAAGAAGAAAGGAUGAUCGAGAGUGGGGUUCCAUGAAUAGAGGUGGCGACCACGGAGUGGUCUGAUUUCUGGGUUACUGUGACU